RNAcentral lists this long non-coding RNA (261 nucleotides) under Mytilus galloprovincialis (Mediterranean mussel). Lineage: Eukaryota; Metazoa; Mollusca; Bivalvia; Mytilida; Mytilidae. The record is from RNAcentral.
GUAGUCUCGAUCACCCAGACGCAUUAUGAAUAUAGCGUCUGGAUUUUUGUGUCUUUGGAUUUCGUUCAUAGAUGGCGUUUUAAAAUUUGGUAAUGACCUUGACCACAUGUUCCCGGAAGGUAAAAACUUCAGGAAUAUGGACGAUAACAUGCGGCAGUGGUUGACCAGAAUGUGAGUUUCAGUGUAAAAUUAAACGUUUAAACAGCAUGGAAACUAGACAAUUAACUUAUCAAGGUUCAUGUUUACGAAUGUCUCUUUUAA